Molecule: ribosomal RNA, 429 nt
Filed under: Chloroflexota bacterium
Lineage: Bacteria; Bacillati; Chloroflexota
Description: Chloroflexi bacterium partial 16S ribosomal RNA
Rfam family: Bacterial small subunit ribosomal RNA
Source: RNAcentral
UGGGGAAUAUUGCACAAUGGGCGCAAGCCUGAUGCAGCCAUGCCGCGUGUAUGAAGAAGGCCUUCGGGUUGUAAAGUACUUUCAGCGGGGAGGAAGGGAGUAAAGUUAAUACCUUUGCUCAUUGACGUUACCCGCAGAAGAAGCACCGGCUAACUCCGUGCCAGCAGCCGCGGUAAUACGGAGGGUGCAAGCGUUAAUCGGAAUUACUGGGCGUAAAGCGCACGCAGGCGGUUUGUUAAGUCAGAUGUGAAAUCCCCGGGCUCAACCUGGGAACUGCAUCUGAUUCUGGCAAGCUUGAGUCUCGUAGAGGGGGGUAGAAUUCCAGGUGUAGCGGUGAAAUGCGUAGAGAUCUGGAGGAAUACCGGUGGCGAAGGCGGCCCCCUGGACGAAGACUGACGCUCAGGUGCGAAAGCGUGGGGAGCAAACAGG